CCUACGGGUGGCAGCAGUGGGGAAUAUUGCACAAUGGGGGAAACCCUGAUGCAGCAACGCCGCGUGAGUGAUGACUGCCUUCUGGUUGUAAAGCUCUGUCUUUAGGGAAGUAAAUGACGGCACCUGAGCAUGAUGGCACGUCUAACUUCGUGCCAGCAGGCGUGGUAAUACGCAGGCGGCGAGCGUUGUCCGGAUUGACUGGGGGUAAAGGGAGCGUAGAGGGUUUUUUAAGUCAGUUGUGAAAGUCUUGGGUUCAACUGGAAAAGUGCAAUUGAAACUGGAAGUCUUGAGUGCAUGAGAGGUAGGUGGAAUUCGUGGUGUAGCGGUGAAAUGCGUAGAGAUUAGGAAGAACACCGGUGGCGAAGGCAGUUCACUAAACUGUAACUGACACUGAGGCUCGAAAGCGUGGGGAGCAAACAGGAUUAGAUACCCUUGUAGUC
Molecule: ribosomal RNA, 440 nt
Filed under: uncultured bacterium
Lineage: Bacteria
Description: partial 16S ribosomal RNA
Rfam family: Bacterial small subunit ribosomal RNA
Source: RNAcentral